Molecule: non-coding RNA, 156 nt
Filed under: Desulfonispora thiosulfatigenes
Lineage: Bacteria; Bacillati; Bacillota; Clostridia; Eubacteriales; Peptococcaceae
Also listed under: 1 other name
Description: Glycine sequence
Rfam family: Glycine riboswitch aptamer
About the family: This family represents the bacterial glycine riboswitch. Glycine riboswitches usually consist of two metabolite-binding aptamers domains with similar structures in tandem. The aptamers cooperatively bind glycine to regulate the expression of downstream genes.
Source: RNAcentral
GGACCAGCCUCUGGAGAGACCUAUUAAAUUAGGCGCCGAAGGAGCAAAUCUAUUUUGUAAACCUUUUAUUUUCUUAGUUGAGUAAAGAUAAUCAAUAAGAGAAGAAAAAUGGUUAUAAUUAGAUAAACUCUCAGGCAAAAGGACAGGGGAUGUGAG